GACGAACGCUGGCGGCGUGCUUAACACAUGCAAGUCGAACGAUGAAGCUGGAGCUUGCUCCGGUGGAUUAGUGGCGAACGGGUGAGUAACACGUGAGCAAUCUGCCCUUGACUCUGGGAUAACUGCGGGAAACUGUAGCUAAUACCGGAUACUUUCACUGGAAGGCAUCUUCUGGUGAAGAAAGAAUUUCGGUCAAGGAUGAGCUCGCGGCCUAUCAGCUUGUUGGUGAGGUAACGGCUCACCAAGGCGACGACGGGUAGCCGGCCUGAGAGGGUGACCGGCCACACUGGGACUGAGACACGGCCCAGACGCCUACGGGAGGCAGCAGUGGGGAAUAUUGCACAAUGGGCGCAAGCCUGAUGCAGCAACGCCGCGUGAGGGAUGAAGGCCUUCGGGUUGUAAACCUCUUUUAGCAGGGAAGAAGCGAAAGUGACGGUACCUGCAGAAAAAGCACCGGCUAACUACGUGCCAGCAGCCGCGGUAA
This 484-nucleotide ribosomal RNA is filed under the name uncultured bacterium. RNAcentral's name for it is "partial 16S ribosomal RNA". It matches the Rfam family "Bacterial small subunit ribosomal RNA", at positions 28 to 523 of the family's 1533-position model. The record is from RNAcentral.